RNAcentral lists this ribosomal RNA (389 nucleotides) under uncultured bacterium. RNAcentral describes it as "bacterial SSU rRNA". It matches the Rfam family "Bacterial small subunit ribosomal RNA", at positions 30 to 416 of the family's 1533-position model. The record is from RNAcentral.
AUUGAACGCUGGCGGCAUGCCUUACACAUGCAAGUCGAACGGCAGCACGGGAGCUUGCUCCUGGUGGCGAGUGGCGAACGGGUGAGUAAUACAUCGGAACGUACCCUGAAGUGGGGGAUAACGUAGCGAAAGUUACGCUAAUACCGCAUAUUCUGUGAGCAGGAAAGAGGGGGAUCGCAAGACCUCUUGCUUUAGGAGCGGCCGAUGUCGGAUUAGCUAGUUGGUGAGGUAAAGGCUCACCAAGGCGACGAUCCGUAGCGGGUCUGAGAGGAUGAUCCGCCACACUGGGACUGAGACACGGCCCAGACUCCUACGGGAGGCAGCAGUGGGGAAUUUUGGGACAAUGGGCGCAAGCCUGAUCCAGCCAUGCCGCGUGAGUGAAGAAGGCC